Long non-coding RNA from Aphis gossypii (cotton aphid), 581 nucleotides. RefSeq lists it as uncharacterized. The record is from RefSeq and is a predicted model, not a curated record. The transcript has 4 exons. Lineage: Eukaryota; Metazoa; Arthropoda; Insecta; Hemiptera; Aphididae.
AUGUAGAGAAGAUAAGGUGACACCACUUGUACAUAUUCCGGUCGCAAAUUUUCUCGGCAGUGUGGUAGGUAGCGCCACCAUUCACCCGAAGGCCGGUUUUCAUAUUGUGAAUACAUUGUUUUUAACGUAAAAUUUCAAAAAUUAUAUACAUUUUUGUCGUGUUUGAUACUAUUACUUCAAAUUUAAAAUAUUGACCACAUAAGAAUUAUUUUUAAGUAAUCAUUCUAUUCAAUUAGCAUUCUCUGCAUCACAUACAAAAUACAUUCUUGAUUGUAAAUAAAAUGUUAUAAUAUUUUUGGUCAAUUCAUUUGCAUGUUCAUCACACCCAAUUCUUCCAAUAAUUGAGCAAAUGGCAUCUUCGAGCUAAAACAAAUAAUAAAGGAGAUUAUUAUUAUUUUUUAGAUGGUACAAGUAAAUAACCACGAGUUUUCAAUUCUAGUAAUUUUUCCCUAUCCUGUACUUCAUGAUCAUCUGGGGCACACAACAUGGUGUAACAUUCUUGACAACAUUUGGCAGGUUUUACUCUUCUCAUCUUCCUUGCAACAUAACCACUUAAUACAGUUAAAGCAUCUUCAUUUAUU